This 432-nucleotide ribosomal RNA is filed under the name uncultured bacterium. RNAcentral's name for it is "bacterial SSU rRNA". It matches the Rfam family "Bacterial small subunit ribosomal RNA", at positions 30 to 460 of the family's 1533-position model. The record is from RNAcentral.
AUUGAACGCUGGCGGCAGGCUUAACACAUGCAAGUCGAGCGGGGAAAGGUAGCUUGCUACCUGACCUAGCGGCGGACGGGUGAGUAAUACUUAGGAAUCUGCCUAUUAGUGGGGGACAACGUUUCGAAAGGGACGCUAAUACCGCAUACGCCCUACGGGGGAAAGCAGGGGAUCACUUGUGACCUUGCGCUAAUAGAUGAGCCUAAGUCGGAUUAGCUAGUUGGUGGGGUAAAGGCCUACCAAGGCGACGAUCUGUAGCGGGUCUGAGAGGAUGAUCCGCCACACUGGGACUGAGACACGGCCCAGACUCCUACGGGAGGCAGCAGUGGGGAAUAUUGGACAAUGGGGGCAACCCUGAUCCAGCCAUGCCGCGUGUGUGAAGAAGGCCUUAUGGUUGUAAAGCACUUUAAGCGAGGAGGAGGCUCCUAUAGA